GCCAGCAUGGUGUUGUGGUUUGAACACUAGGCUAGGAGUCUGGAGAACAGGGUUCGAAUCCCAGCUUGGCC
Non-coding RNA from Phrynosoma platyrhinos (Desert horned lizard), 71 nucleotides. Lineage: Eukaryota; Metazoa; Chordata; Lepidosauria; Squamata; Phrynosomatidae. The record is from the annotation of a GenBank genome assembly.